CUACUUUAUUCGUAUUGUCACUUCCUCUCUUUUCAAGAAUAACUAUUGUUACAAGAAACUCAUCCACUCUACUGAUUAUUCUUCCUCGCAUCAUUUCAUAAGAUCAACAACACACCAUAUAAAGACCACCUAUUAUGAUUUGUGAUUUGAACAUAGGUGACAAUGUUUGGAAGAUCGCCAUUUGUGUGGUUGAUCUAUGGAUUGUUAAGGAGCGGAAUGGACAACAACAUGUUGAAUGUCUUAUCCAACAUUCAAAGGGGGACAAAAUCCAUGUCGUCACCCAGAACCGAGACUUUGAAAUGUGGAACCAAACCUUACAAGAACACUAAACAUAUAUGGUUUAUAAUGGUGACCCUACUAUGAAUGAUCUAGCUUUUAAAAUCUGUGACAAUCCCUUGAAGAUAUUUUUUCAUGGCGGAACUACUAUAACCAUGUUAGAUAUGUCGGAAAUACCAAUGCACAACUUUGAUUUCAAACCCAUUGUUAAUUUUUUGCACGGGGAUUUCCAAGUGAACCGGUUAUAUGAU
This is a long non-coding RNA of Lathyrus oleraceus (garden pea), 527 nucleotides long. RefSeq lists it as uncharacterized. The record is from RefSeq and is a predicted model, not a curated record. Lineage: Eukaryota; Viridiplantae; Streptophyta; Magnoliopsida; Fabales; Fabaceae. The transcript has 3 exons.